This is a long non-coding RNA of Coturnix japonica (Japanese quail), 6809 nucleotides long. RefSeq lists it as uncharacterized. NCBI's taxonomy places the organism in Eukaryota, Metazoa, Chordata, Aves, Galliformes, Phasianidae. The record is from RefSeq and is a predicted model, not a curated record.
AAAUCCCAAUCACAUUCCAAACAUAACUACUGUACGCCACUGGCUCACUUUAGCUCUUCAUCAUAUUUUUUCUGGGGAAUUUUCUUGCUGCUUCUUCUUUCCCUCAGGAGCGGCCAUAUUUAUUAUUGUAGUUCAAAUACCUGGAGAUAUUUCAGUUGAAAAGUCGUAUAACAUCUCUCUAAGCAUGUCAAUACGUGUUCAGCUUAGUAUGAAUGUGCCAUUCCCACCGGAGAAAAGUAAAAACUGUCAAGGAAAUAUAUUUAACUUGUUUCUGCACAGAUGCCUGCAGAUAUCUUGCAUCUGAAGAAUAUUUAAAUCGUGUUUUGUUAAGAUAGGAUACUUAGAUGAUACAGUGGAGCAGCCAGGAGGUUAUAGUCUCUGCUAGACAAUUUGCCAGACAAGAAAGAUGGCUUGGUAGCAAUGCUGACAGCUUUAUUCUCAUGGCUUUGGCAGAAAAAAAUAGGCAAAAAGAUUGCAGAGGCGGCAGGCUAGAAUACAGCGUGAAAGUUCAGAAAAAUAUUAACUGGUUGUAAAAUGAGUGGGUGGAUGCACUAAAGGAGGUGGCAUUUCGGUUAUAUAACCACACUUAUUGCAACAUUUUUAUGGCUAAAUUAUGCUCUUUUUCUGUGCUGUAUUUUUGCAUCUGCUGCCCAGCCCCAGUGGUGAGGGACAAAAUGUUUAUUUGGCAGGAGAAAAGGGCAGCAGCCAUUCAUCAUCUUCAGCCAUUGGCCCGACUGAAGAUUCCCCUGAGAAUUCCAUUUCUAAUAUAUUAUACAUUGUAAUUUUACAAAUCUGAUUUUAUUUUCCAGACCAGCUACUUGCAGAAGGCCCCGACAAACAACCCUGAUCUGAAUGUGAAGAAGCUGUACUGUGCAUGCUGGACAUUGGGUGCAGCAGCUACAGAGAAUUCAAAUUAAAACUUCUUCUGGAGCUCAGGGCUAGACUCUGCCUAACACACAUUGCUCUUCAGGAGAUGGAAGGUAAAGAAAGCAGCAUGGCUCUGACGUACACUCCUGGCUUUGGACCACAUCUUCGCUUAUAAUUUAUGAACACGGGGACUUGCGACUGGCACAAAAUUAUAUAGAAAAUGCCUACAGCUGCUCCAAAGCCACAGAUGUUGUCCUAGCAGGAGCCAGGAAAGAAGAGAAAGACCAAGAAAGAACAGUAAGAACUUAGUAUGACAGAGUACUUGAACACUGGUUUAAGUUGAAGCAACCAUGUGGAAAUCAACAGGAAAGCUCACUUCAUACAGGAAAGGUAUAAGCAGAGAUGACAAAGGAGUUCUUUGAUCAGGCUUCUUGAAGGGGGAUUUGGAAGAGCAUCUGCAAGGUCAACAUUUCAUACUGUCCUCAUUCAGAGAUCUCUGGCUCAGUUAUGGAGGUACAGUGACGGUUUUUCUUUUAUGUUCAAGUCCUUCACAAUUUCCCAUUGUCUGGUGCUUUGCAAAUGUCAGUGAAAAGCUCCCUACAUAAUCAAAGCCCAGCCUUGCUAAAUUGGAGAUAUAGCAUGAAAGGUGCACUAUAAAUCAUAGUGUGUCUUCACAGCUCCAUUCAUAUGUGAACAGUAUGCUAGAGCCCAUGCAUUAAGCAAUGGAGCUCUGGCAAACAGAUCCAAUUCUGCAUCAGCUGACAAAAAUAUGAUUUACCCAAAAGCUUUGCAUAUAGAAAAACUGUUUCAGACUCCCAGCUGGUGUUUUUCCUCACCUCUUGUGUUUGCAGCAGAAAGGAAUACUUGGAGCAGACAAGCUCGUUAGCUGUCAAUUAGCUGGUGAAUGUGCUCAGUGCUGUAGAUAAUGCAGCCAAGCAAAAUGUGCUUGGGUGGUGAGGCACUGGCACAAGUUGCCCCAAGGUGGUGGAUGCCCUGUCCUUGAAGACACCCAAGGUUGGUCUGGGCAGGCUCUGUGGGAGCUGUAGGCAUCCCUAUGCAUCGCAGGAACGUUGGGUUAGGUGGCCUUUAAAGAUCCUUUCCAACUCAAACAGUUCUAUAAUCAUUGCAGCUCUGGAAGCACAGGUUUCUACUGUCCUGCCCUGGUUGUGUUCAGUGGGUGUGAAGACCCAUCCAGCAGUGGAAAAAAAAUGGGUAAAGAAUAUCUCACCUGACUUCACACUUGUAGUCCCUCAGCGCUGUGUUUUGUGGAUUUCAGUUAUUUUUGGUUUCAUGUCUUUUCUUUGCCAAGUUUCAGGACGCACAGUAGAACUGUCUGUGAUUUCAGCAUAAAAUUGUUGCUUGCUGGUUUCUGGGAAGGUUAUAUUUGUGUUAAAUCUAGUAAACCUUACUGAUGGUUAAAUUGUUCCCAGCCCCUCUGAGGUGAACUGACACACUGCGUUUGUUGUUAAAAAGUGUUUAUUUAAAUUGAGUAUUUUGAGUUUUUUAUUCACUUUCUGUGAAUGUGUAAUGCACUCAGAUCUCCCUCUUAUACAUUGUUUAUAAGUUAGAAGUCUCUUAUUCCCUGUGUUGAUUCAGUUGUGAUGUGGCAGGAAAAGAGAUUCAAACCUAAUAUUAAUAUCACAGGACCUAAGCGAAUGCCUUUCUUUCUGUCUCUUCGACUCUCUCAAGGCAAGAGUUUCAGAUAAACCCUUGGCUGCUAAUUUCCAGGCUUCAGAAACCUGUUUGAUACUCAUUUGUGAAUAUGUUGGCGUUGCUCAAUAGCUGAAGUAGCUUUUCUCCUUCUCCAGAACUUAGGUACUUAAAUAAUGAGACUUAAAUAAUGAGGGUUUAAAUCAGUGCUUACUAUGGUACCAUUAUUUUUUUCCCAUUUCACAGAAUCAUAGAAUGGCUUAGGUUGGAAGGGACCUUAAAGGUCAUCCAGUUCCGUCCCCCUGCCCUGGACUGGCUGCCACCCACCAACCAGCUCAGGCUGCCCAGUGCCCCAUCCACAGCCUUGAACGCCUCCAGGACUGGGGCACUCACAACCCUGGGCAGCUGUGCCACUGCCUCAUCACCCUCUAUGUAAAGAAUUUCUGCCUAACAUCAUAAAAAUGAAUCUUUGUCAUCAGCAAGUGGAUCUCAAUGGUUAUGGGAUGCUGGUAGAAGAUGUGCUACCUUAAAGAGUGAAAGUGUGAUGGGAGAGGAAUAGUAUCACUUUAUGGUCUGUUCCCACCACCAUCCCUCUGCAUUGCCAGCUGUUCCCAGUCCUGGUGCCAAUCCUGGUGGGGCAUGUGGGAGGUGAGGAGAAUAUCCUGAUCUUAUAUUUCUGAUAUAAGUUUGGAAUUACUUCUGGAGUACAACCACCAGGCAGCAGAAGCAGCUGCUGGAGUGCUGAGUAAUUUUUAUUUGAAGAGUGAUGCAGGUUGGAGAGGAUCUGAAGUAGGAACGUGCUUGAUUUCCUGUGCUCAGCUUGAGGCACUCAGUGCCCUGUGAGUACUUGUGUGCACACCUGCCCACUCCUCAUACCCACCUGAGUGUGACAGGUGUGAUGAGAGGAGAAGAGGGACCCUAACUUGCCAGCACUAGGCUUCACCAGAGCAAAGGAGGUAGGAAAAGACUUCACUCGAAUCUCGAAAGCAGGGGUAAGGGGAGCUGCUUCUCCUGCAGGAUCUGCUCCUCCCUUUACCACUGUGACAUGUUGUAAAGAAAAUGCAACACAGGGUGCUCAAGAUGAAUAAUUUAGAGGCAAACAUGAAGCAUAAAACCAGUGAGCUGUGAAUAUGAAGCCAAGGCAGUGACUUGAAGCUGUGUCUGUGCGUGAUUUUCAAGGCAAUAUUGCCUUUUAAACUAUUAUCUCCAGAUGUUAAUCCAUAAUGGAAGCAAAACUGGAGCUUGGCCUCCUCAACUCAGUUUGUACAAUAGCAGCCACAUAUUCCCAUUGUAUUUAUCACAUAAAAUGCAGAAUUGCAAUUUUUCUGCUUUAUUUUUCUACUGGGCAGUUUUUCUGUUUAAGAAUUAUCACUCCCAAAUCCAUUAAGCAACGUAUUCUGCUCUUAUUAUGGAAAUCUGCAGUUGUACUGUGGUGGGCCACAAGUCUCAAAGACAUGAGCUAUCCUCUGACUGUGUACCAGUUUAUUUUGGAUCCAAAUUAUUGAUCCAUUUUGGCUUCCAGGGGCCAGAUCUGUAUGUAAUAGAAACUCGGACAGCUGCUGGAGAAACAGAGCAAGGCAUAUCUGGAGCAGCAACUGAGAGAUGCCAAGGCUGCAGGGCCGAAUGGCUGUCACCUUAUCAGUAUUACAGGUAGUGAAGGAUUGGCUGUUUUCCUUCUUUUUCAGGCUGCAAAGAGGGGAGCAGUGAAACAGGUGGCCAAAAUACACAGUGAGUUAUGUAGGCUACGUUGAAUUUAUGAGAGAUGAAAUUUGCUACCUCAUUCCACCCAUAAAAAUUAUAAAGAGAACAGAAAGUGACAUAAAAUCAAUCCAUUUCCAUGACAAAGCUCAUUAUGAGCAGAGAAAAUAUAGUCCCAUAUUAACUUGUUCUCAUUACUGUUCUAAGAUUUAUCAUGUCGGGUGCAAUGUGCAAGGGAGGAAAGGAAAACAUUCAGUGCCUUUACCUUUUAAAGCAAACAGACGUAUAAGCCAAAUGAUCCUCAUUAUGUUCAGCAAGAGUGUAUUUCCCAAGCUUCUGAAGGGACACAACUCUAGCGGUGCCAACCAGGACAAUUGCUCUGUCUGGGCUGCUGCCACCAACACAACUUCUCCCCUGGUGCCCAUGGAAACAGCUCUUGGAGGCAGCAUUGCUUUCUCUCCAUGGAGCAAGAAAGGAGGUGGUGGAUUAAUUGCUGCCGUACUGUACUUGCACCAGCACAGCCCUGCAAAGCACAGAAGAUAAAGCAUCACCUUCCUUUGAUUAAAGAAGAUACAACUAAGACUCCUUCACACUGACCUAGCACAGUCUAUCCAAGAGAGUUUUGCAUAUGCUAUUGGGAGCGUUGGUCAUUCUACAGCUAACAUCACGUGCUGAGGGAUGUGGGAAUCCAUAGGAAGCGUGGAAAAGCUGGCUUUUCCUGCCUCUUGCUGGAGACAAUUGGAUGCCCAUUUGGAUACAUCUUCAACCUGGUCCACACCCCCUCCCCAGCAACACCUGUCCUGCAUGUCCUGACGUCACUGUUCAGCCCCGCACAUGAAGGAAGAGCCUCUUCCUGAGCCUUGCUGAGGAAUCGUUACUUCGUAUAGUUGUUACAGGCUGUGCUGAGCGCUGUGUUGCUGCUGGUCUGUUGGUUGUGGGGAACAAUGGCUCAGCUUCACAGACAGGUUCUUGUAGAAGCCCUGGCAACCCCGGGAACAAGAUUCACACCUCAAGUUGCUUACACUGGUGCUUUCCAGGCCUAAGAAUGCAUGUCAUUCUCACCUACUUUCAGACUUACUGUGGGCUCCUGCAACUGGACAUGUGAGUCAAACUGGCUCGAGUCACUGAAAAUAUCUGAAUGUCUGAGAAACUGUCUUGUAAGGAGUUCCUGAUUCAAGCCCUGGGAUAACAGGCUGCAAAUCAGAGUUGCAUUACCACAUGGAGCUCAGGCUAGAAACCCUACAAGGAUAAAGUACUUACCAAACAGAAGGACAGAGUUGCCCUAUGGAUUAUAAUGAGUAAGUGUCAAAUAAUUUCAUUAUUAUUUUCUUUUUUUAGAAGAGAUUUAUUAAGCAUCUCAAAGCAUCCAGAAGGUAUAUUAGAAAAUGUUCAGGCCCUCCUACUGACACCUUUCUUACCAAACAUCCAUACAUAAAUUUGACAGAAAUAGGGAAUAUGAAAAAUACAGCAACAAAAUGCUAAGUGUGUUUUACAAAUUUUGUUUUUAUUUUCCAAGAAAUGCAAUAUAAGGAAUAAAUUCAAGUCCUACCUCAGUCAAUAGAUAAAGACCAUUAUUCUUCAGUGGAAUGAAAGGUUUCACUGCAGAACUUUUCUAUGAGAUAUGAGCAAUCUACAUUUAAGAAGACAGUGUAUCUAUGGAAGGAUUUUUACAAGUCGUUCUUCAUAGCAUGUAUGUAAGUGAUAAUUAAAUACAUCUCUUGGGUGAUAAACACAUGGGAGGAAAAAUAAGACUUUCUUUGAUCACAUACAGGUUCCACUGAAGCAAAGAAAGGUGAUAGCUGCUCUAUGGGCAGCUGUUACCUUCAGGUUUGGGUCAUUUGCCUCUGAAGUCUUUGUUUUUACCUGGACACUAGGAGCUAAACUCAAAAAGAUGCAUGAUUCCGCUGUGGGAUGCCAUGCUGACCAUCCACAGUGCUCAGGCAAUGGCCGCUUAUUACAAAAUGAAUCAGUGCUUGUUGUCAGAACCCAGAUCAACAUUAUCACCAGCGGAGGAGAGAUUCCUACAUGGCCUUAGCUCUACUUCUGCAACACUGACCCAGGGAAGCAGUAUUUCCUGCAGCAUGGAGGACAGCAUGAGGCCACCAGGUAUUGCAGCACCAGCAAUGGGAUGGUGACUAGCUGGGAGGAGGCAGCUGUGUUCAGAUUCCCUCCAGGAUGGAUGCACAAAGUUUCAGCUCUAAGACAGUGUUUUAAAUCAUUAUGCUUAAGUAGCACAAUGCACAAAGGAGGCAGGCAGUGGUUUAAUGCACACUUGCUGGUAUUUUCUAUUUUCUAGCAGUAGGAUGCCUGUGCUCAGCUGGCAGGCUGUCAGCUCCCCUCCUCAGCUGCUGAUUGCUUUCUUCCGUAUGCAAGCUUCUUGACUCAGGGCAAUGGAUCCCAUUUCAGCUGUGGCAUGUCUAAGCUUUAUUCACUGACUUGAUGCCCAUAGUUUCUCAGUACUUCAUUUGUACAGUUAACUACUUGUAAUUAUUGCUUCACCAGGGUGCUGUAAAAAACUAAAAACUACAAGGCAUUUAGAUAUUGGUUAGUUAUAUGCGAUCUCUUAGGGGAAAAGAAAAGAAAAAAAAAAAAAA